This 1674-nucleotide ribosomal RNA is filed under the name Eimeria nieschulzi. Its description in RNAcentral is "eukaryotic LSU rRNA". It matches the Rfam family "Eukaryotic large subunit ribosomal RNA". The record is from RNAcentral. Lineage: Eukaryota; Apicomplexa; Conoidasida; Eucoccidiorida; Eimeriidae.
AGGAUAUAUUGUGGAUCAUUUGGGAAGCAAUGCGUGCGCUAUUAUAAUAUACUGUUGUUUUGUCUGAAAAGGAGAGUUUUCUUGUUACAGUGGAGCUAGCCUUUUUCAAAAAUGGUUCCAACUGUGUAUUGUAUUUUAUUAUUAGACUUGAGAUAAAUUCGUCGCGACUGCCUGCUGCAUUUAGGCAUAUUAUUAGGCGGAGGAUAAGAAAAUAAUUAUGAUUCCCUCAGUUAAAGCGAGUGUAAAGGGAUAGGCUCAAAGUAAAAAAUUGCGGGCAUUCGUAUGUCCCCGCGAGUUGUAGCCUCUAGAGGCGUUCCCAGAGGAGGAGGAGAUCCAAAUGUCUUGAAACAGAACUUAAGAAAGGAUGACAGUCCCGUCCUUUGCGCUGCAUCUUUUGUUUUCACGUACGGUGCGCUUUUAUUGCGUCGCAUGCAUUGGGAGUUGAGUGCAAAAUAUGCGAUAAGUUUCCCAUAAAGCUAAGUACUCGCGCGAGACCGAUAGCGAAGGAUAAAAGGUAUUUUAUAAAAGAACGUUAAAAGUACCUGAAAAUGCUGGAAGGGAAACGACUGAAACUUUUGCAUCUCUUCGGUGUUUCUUGGUGUUUUGGAUCUCUUCCGCUUCCUUUCGUUAUAAGAAUUUGGGAUUUUAGAUUUUUCUUUUUCCUUGGGUUUGGUCAGCAUCAGCAGGUAGGUAUCAAUUCUCCCCGUGGAAGGUAAGGCCCUUGUGGGCUGUUAUAACGUUGGGUUAUAUUGUUGACCUACCUGCUGAGGUGUGCUCUUGCGCGUUUGUCGUUGUCUUUGCUUCUUACCAGCGUCUUCUAAACAUAUCCUGGAAUAAGAUUAUCUGAAGUUAGGGUUGACUGGAUGGUGAGGCUUCCUUGCUUUGAGGGAGUCCGGUGGGCUCCUGACUACCUUUGAAAAAGAAGAGGGAAAGUUGUUAUUUGCACCCCUGGUCAUACCAUUAACCGCAUCAGGUCUUCAAGGUUAGAAGCCUCUGGUUGAUAGAAGAAAGUAGAUCAGGGAAGUCGGCAAGAUAGAUCCGAAACUCCGGAAAGCAAAUUGGCUCUGAGGGUGGUGAUGCAUUCUGCCAUUGUGUGCUUCCUUGGUCGGAGCUUUGCUGGCCCUUUCGUGCCUCGCAGCGGUUUGUAGACCGCUGGCUCUGACUGUGUUAUGACCGUUGGUUUGCGUGUACAGUGAACAAGUAACUCAGAACUGGAGCGCACAAGCGGAAUUCGACCGUUUAAUUAAAGCAAAGCAAUGCGAUGGCCGUAAAUGGCGUUACGGCAUUAAGCAUUUUGGCCAGUGCUCUGAAUGUCAUUGUGAUGAAAUUCAAUCAAGCGCNNNNNNNNNNNNNNNNNNNNNNNNNNNNGCCAAAAGCUUCGUCAUAUAAUUCGUGACGUGCAUGAAAGGAUUAACGAGAUUCCGACCGUCCCUACCCACUAUCUAAAGAACCCACGGCAGCCAAGGGAACGGGCUCGGCAGAAGCAUGCCAAGGAAGCGUUUGCUGCAUGCAGUGCCUCCCUCGAGGUGGAAAUGUAAAGACUACAAAGAAGGAAAAUCAAAAAAGGAUUAAAGAGCAUCUCCAGAAACGCUGCUAAUGUUUGCUGAUAUGCAGAAACUAUCUGCGUAGCCGCUAGCCUUUUUUGUGGCCGAGAGAGACCCUUUGAAAAUCAGC